CCUACGGGUGGCAGCAGUGGGGGAUAUUGCACAAUGGGGGAAACCCUGAUGCAGCGACGCCGCGUGGGUGAAGAAGUAUUUCGGUAUGUAAAGCUCUAUCAGCAGGGAAGAAAGAAGACUGUACCUGAAGAAAAAGCAUCGGCUAACUCCGUGCCAGCAGCCGCGGUAAUACGGAGGAGGCGAGCGUUAUCCGGAUUUAUUGGGUUUAAAGGGUGCGCAGGCGGUCUGUUAAGUCAGAGGUCAAAGCUCGGGGCUCAACCCCGGCCCGCCGUUGAAACUGGCAGUCUCGAGUUGGAGAGAAGUAUGCGGAAUGCGCGGUGUAGCGGUGAAAUGCAUAGAUAUCGCGCAGAACUCCGAUUGCGAAGGCAGCAUGCCGGCUCCACACUGACGCUGAGGCACGAAAGCGUGGGUAUCGAACAGGAUUAGAUACCCGGGUAGUC
RNAcentral lists this ribosomal RNA (440 nucleotides) under uncultured bacterium. RNAcentral describes it as "partial 16S ribosomal RNA". It matches the Rfam family "Bacterial small subunit ribosomal RNA", at positions 338 to 795 of the family's 1533-position model. The record is from RNAcentral.